UACGUAGGAUGCGAGCGUUGUUCGGAAUUAUUGGGCGUAAAGCGUGCGUAGGCGGCUGUCUAAGUCUGGUGUUAAAGCUAGGGGCUCAACCCCUGUGAUGCACUGGAAACUGGGCGGCUUGAGUGCGGUAGGGGAAGGCGGAAUUCCGAGUGUAGCGGUGAAAUGCGUAGAUAUUCGGAAGAACACCGGUGGCGAAGGCGACCUUCUGGGCCGCAACUGACGCUGAGGCACGAAAGCCUGGGGAGCAAACGGG
RNAcentral lists this ribosomal RNA (253 nucleotides) under uncultured bacterium. RNAcentral's name for it is "partial 16S ribosomal RNA". It matches the Rfam family "Bacterial small subunit ribosomal RNA", at positions 524 to 776 of the family's 1533-position model. The record is from RNAcentral.